This 496-nucleotide ribosomal RNA is filed under the name uncultured bacterium. RNAcentral's name for it is "partial 16S ribosomal RNA". It matches the Rfam family "Bacterial small subunit ribosomal RNA", at positions 29 to 523 of the family's 1533-position model. The record is from RNAcentral.
AUUGAACGCUGGCGGCGUGCCUAACACAUGCAAGACGCACGCGAAAGGGGGCAACCCCAAGUAGAGUGGCGGACGGGUGAGUAACGCGUAGGAAUCUACCUAGUAGUGGGGGACAACCCGGCGAAAGCCGGGCUAAUACUGCAUACGACCUAAGGGUGAAAGCAGGGGAUCGCAAGACCUUGCGCUAUUAGAUGAGCCUGCGUCCGAUUAGCUAGUUGGUGAGGUAACGGCUCACCAAGGCGACGAUCGGUAACUGGUUUGAGAGAACGACCAGUCACAUUGGGACUGAGACACGGCCCAAACGCCUACGGGAGGCAGCAGGGGGGAAUAUUGGACAAUGGGGGCAACCCUGAUCCAGCGACGCCGCGUGUGUGAAGAAGGCCUUCGGGUUGUAAAGCACUUUCGGCAGGGACAAACAAGACGGAGCUAACAUCUCCGUUCCUGAUGGUACCUGAAGAAGAAGCACCGGCUAACUCUGUGCCAGCAGCCGCGGUAA